GUCAGUGUGGCGCAAUAGUUUGAGCGCUGGACUAUGACUCUGGAGACCCGGGUUCAAAUCCUGACUCAGCCA
RNAcentral lists this transfer RNA (72 nucleotides) under Phrynosoma platyrhinos (Desert horned lizard). Its description in RNAcentral is "tRNA-OTHER". It matches the Rfam family "tRNA". Rfam says of the family: Transfer RNA (tRNA) molecules are approximately 80 nucleotides in length. The record is from RNAcentral. Lineage: Eukaryota; Metazoa; Chordata; Lepidosauria; Squamata; Phrynosomatidae.